CCGUAAAAAAAAACUCUCAUUUCUCUUCAAAAAUGGAUUCUCUCAGACAACAGUCACUGACCCCUAGCUUCCUCUACUCCUCUUCUUCCUCCGCUAAACCUUUCUCCCUCUCUAACCUCCUCCACUCCGAACAACCAUCGCUUUCUCCGUCUUCAUCGUCGUCAACGACCACUAUGGACAGCAAGAGCAGUGGCAGAUUUGUGGUCCCGGCACCGAGGGAGCCUGGGAAGAAGAUCGAGAUUUAACGAAUAAGGAUCCAAACAAGGUUGUUUCCCUAUCAUGGGCUGCUAUCAAUGCUGGGGAUCGGGUUAAUAGUUCCUUGAAAGACAUGGCAGUGGUGAUGAAGCAAUUGGAUGGGGCUGAUGAGGCGAUCAAAUCUUUUCGUCAUCUCUACCCCUAUGAUUCUCGGGAAUCUAUUGAGAAUGUGCUAGUUGAACUCUACAAGGGGAACAUGAAUCAUCUCGAAGGGUCAAAUCUGAACUUCUGGUUCAGGUAGAUGGUGUAAACAAUAUUCCCACUUGUGAAGAUGGCCAUCGGAAAAUAGUGAUGGUUUUGGCAGCUACAAACUUUUCUUGGGACAUAGAUGAGGCACUAAGAUUGGUUCGUUGUCUUCUGGAGGUUGGAAAAGCAUAUUUAUAUUCCAUUUCCAAAUUUUGAGAGUCGUAAAGAGCUUAUUAGGAUCAAUUUGAAAACUAUUGAGAUCUUGGAUCAAAUCAAAUCAUUCUUUGAGUUUUUAUUGUUAGGCCACACUUCGCCUUGUCACCUAGAGGUUGCCACUGAUGUAGAUAUUGAUGAAGUUGCUCGCAGGACGGAGGGAUACAGUGAAGAUGCUCUAACUAACGUUUGCAGAGAUGCUUCUUUGAAUGGCAUGAGGUGAAAGAUAACAAGCAAGGCACGAGAUGAGAUUAAGAACAUGCCUAAGGAUGAGAUUUCAAAUGAUCCUGUUGCAAUGUGUGAUUUUGAAGAAGCCUUGUGGAAGGUUCAGCGCAGUAUUUCCCAAGCAGAUAUGGAGAAGCAGGGGGGGUGGUUCCCGGAAUUUGGAUCAGCCUAAGGGAGAUGAGACCCAUCUUAAGAUGAAGACUACUGCUGAUUGGUAUUUUCUUUGCAUGUUUUUCACUAAGAACCUGGCUUUUUUAUUGUAGCUUACACGUACGAUUUCAUUCAUGGCUGAGAAUCUAACAAUGGUGAUCCAUAUGUUGAAUUGCGUGUUUGGAUAUUUUCAGCAUGCUUGUAGCAAAAGUGGGGUGAAUAAGAACUGUUUGCCAAAAUGAUAUCCAAUCCCUUCUUUCUUUCUUUCUUAUAGAGAAAAGUUUUUAUUUAUUCUCAGAUAGUCUUGAAAACUCGAUGUCAAUCAAUUUUUUGAUAGCUAUCUUUAUUUCAACAUAA
This is a long non-coding RNA of Populus trichocarpa (black cottonwood), 1386 nucleotides long. RefSeq lists it as uncharacterized. The transcript is spliced from 6 exons. The record is from RefSeq and is a predicted model, not a curated record. Lineage: Eukaryota; Viridiplantae; Streptophyta; Magnoliopsida; Malpighiales; Salicaceae.